This 17-nucleotide unclassified non-coding RNA is filed under the name Mus musculus (house mouse). RNAcentral's name for it is "oocyte_clustered_small_RNA7875". The record is from RNAcentral. Lineage: Eukaryota; Metazoa; Chordata; Mammalia; Rodentia; Muridae.
AAGCAUCAUUGCUACAG